Molecule: unclassified non-coding RNA, 357 nt
Filed under: Hevea brasiliensis (rubber tree)
Lineage: Eukaryota; Viridiplantae; Streptophyta; Magnoliopsida; Malpighiales; Euphorbiaceae
Source: RNAcentral
GAGAUUAUCGAAAAUGUGUUUCUGAGCAAGGGUCUAGUAUUCCACCCAGGGACGGGAUCCCUGUUGUAAAUAGAGUGCGCCUUAGGAUGUCAUUGGAGAAUGUAGUGAAGGAUAUCCCUUUGAUCUCAGAUCAUUCUUGGACUUACGGUGAUUUCAUGGAAGUGGAAUCCCGAAUAUUGAAAGCCUUGCAACCACAUCUUCUUCUAGAUCCUACUCCCAAAUUGGAUAGGCUAUGUAAUGACCCAACUUCCACAAAGCUCAAUUUGGGUCUGAGCAACUUGCGGAGAAAAAGAUUGAGACAGAUGCCUGAAGUUACUGUAACAUCUACUAGCAGAAUCCAUGGGAAGAAAGUUUGUA